UACGUAGGGGGCAAGCGUUGUCCGGAUUUAUUGGGCGUAAAGAGCGUGUAGGCGGCUUUACAGGUCCGUUGUGAAAACUCGAGGCUCAACCUCGAGACGCCGGUGGAAACCGUAAAGCUAGAGUCCGGAAGAGGAGAGUGGAAUUCCUGGUGUAGCGGUGAAAUGCGCAGAUAUCAUCAGGAACACCGGAGGCGAAGGCGGCUCACUGGGGCUUAUCUGACGCUGAGGAACGAAAGCCAGGGGAGCGAACGGG
Molecule: ribosomal RNA, 253 nt
Filed under: uncultured bacterium
Lineage: Bacteria
Description: partial 16S ribosomal RNA
Rfam family: Bacterial small subunit ribosomal RNA
Source: RNAcentral